CCUACGGGUGGCAGCAGUGGGGAAUAUUGCACAAUGGGGGAAACCCUGAUGCAGCGACGCCGCGUGAGCGAUGAAGUAUUUCGGUAUGUAAAGCUCUAUUAGCAGGGAAGAAGAUGACGGUACCUGACUAAGAAUCCCCGGCUCACUACGUGCCAGCAGCCGCGGUAAUACGUAGGGGGCAAGCGUUAUCCGGAUUUACUGGGUGUAAAGGGAGCGUAGACGGGGGUGCAAGUCAGAUGUGAAAGCCCGGGGUUCAACCCCGGGACUGCAUUUGGAACUGUGUGGCUGGAGUGUAGGAGAGGCAGGCGGAAUUCCUAGUGUAGCGGUGAAAUGCGUAGAUAUUAGGAGGAACACCAGUGGCGAAGGCGGCUUGCUGGACGAUGACUGACGUUGAGGCUCGAAAGCGUGGGGAGCAAACAGGAUUAGAUACCCGUGUAGUC
RNAcentral lists this ribosomal RNA (440 nucleotides) under uncultured bacterium. Its description in RNAcentral is "partial 16S ribosomal RNA". It matches the Rfam family "Bacterial small subunit ribosomal RNA", at positions 338 to 795 of the family's 1533-position model. The record is from RNAcentral.